This 312-nucleotide long non-coding RNA is filed under the name Ananas comosus (pineapple). RNAcentral's name for it is "long non-coding RNA (ACOM_LNC027924)". The record is from RNAcentral. Lineage: Eukaryota; Viridiplantae; Streptophyta; Magnoliopsida; Poales; Bromeliaceae.
UGAAGUAGAUUUCUUAUUAAGCAUUGCACUUACUUUUGUUGUCUACCGUUUUAGGUACCGAGAGUUGGGGCGUAUGAGAUAAUUGGCCGAUGAGAACUAGUUAGAUAGAUUUUAAAAUUUGGACAUAUGAUUUAUUUUGAUUUGAGGUUGAUUAAUUAGAUAUCUAGUAGAUAUUGUUCAGUUUUAUUUUUAAUUAAUAAAUUAUUUAGUCUUUUACUGAGAUAGUGGCUUUGGAUCUAUUUAAGGCAUUCUGUUUUUAGAGAUUCUUCCUGUGGAUUCGUGGCCGGUUGUUGUGGUUCGGAUUGAGCAGUC